Molecule: ribosomal RNA, 340 nt
Filed under: uncultured bacterium
Lineage: Bacteria
Description: bacterial SSU rRNA
Rfam family: Bacterial small subunit ribosomal RNA
Source: RNAcentral
AUUGAACGCUGGCGGCAUGCCUUACACAUGCAAGUCGAACGGCAGCACGGGAGCAAUCCUGGUGGCGAGUGGCGAACGGGUGAGUAAUAUAUCGGAACGUGCCCGGUCGUGGGGAUAACGUAGGCGAAAGCUACGCUAAUACCGCAUACGAUCUACGGAUGAAAGCGGGGGAUCGCAAGACCUCGCGCGAUUGGAGCGGCCGAUAUCAGAUUAGGUAGUUGGUGAGGUAAAGGCUCACCAAGCCGACGAUCUGUAGCUGGUCUGAGAGACGACCAGCCACACUGGGACUGAGACACGGCCCAGACUCCUACGGGAGGCAGCAGUGAGGAAUAUGGUCAAU